AGCGGCAGCACAGAGAAACUUGUUUCUCGGGUGGCGAGCGGCGGACGGGUGAGUAAUGCCUGGGAAAUUGCCCUGAUGUGGGGGAUAACCAUUGGAAACGAUGGCUAAUACCGCAUAAUAGCUUCGGCUCAAAGAGGGGGACCUUCGGGCCUCUCGCGUCAGGAUAUGCCCAGGUGGGAUUAGCUAGUUGGUGAGGUAAUGGCUCACCAAGGCGACGAUCCCUAGCUGGUCUGAGAGGAUGAUCAGCCACACUGGAACUGAGACACGGUCCAGACUCCUACGGGAGGCAGCAGUGGGGAAUAUUGCACAAUGGGCGCAAGCCUGAUGCAGCCAUGCCGCGUGUGUGAAGAAGGCCUUCGGGUUGUAAAGCACUUUCAGUCGUGAGGAAGGUGGUGUAGUUAAUAGCUGCAUUAUUUGACGUUAGCGACAGAAGAAGCACCGGCUAACUCCGUGCCAGCAGCCGCGGUAAUACGGAGGGUGCGAGCGUUAAUCGGAAUUACUGGGCGUAAAGCGCAUGCAGGUGGUUUGUUAAGUCAGAUGUGAAAGCCCGGGGCUCAACCUCGGAAUAGCAUUUGAAACUGGCAAGCUAGAGUACUGUAGAGGGGGGUAGAAUUUCAGGUGUAGCGGUGAAUGCGUAGA
RNAcentral lists this ribosomal RNA (639 nucleotides) under uncultured bacterium. RNAcentral's name for it is "bacterial SSU rRNA". It matches the Rfam family "Bacterial small subunit ribosomal RNA", at positions 65 to 694 of the family's 1533-position model. The record is from RNAcentral.